UCUGGUCAGUGGCGAACGGCUGAGUAACACGUAGGUGACCUGCCCGAAGUGGGGGAUAACACCUCGAAAGAGGUGCUAAUACCGCAUGUGACCACCGGUCCAUUCCGGUGCUCAAAGUCGCAAGACGCUUUGGGAGGGNCCUGCGGCCGAUUAGCUAGUUGGUGGGGUAACGGCUUACCAAGGCUUCGAUCGGUAGCUGGUCUGAGAGGAUGGCCAGCCAGACUGGGACUGAGACACGGCCCAGACUCCUACGGGAGGCAGCAGUUAGGAAUUUUGCGCAAUGGGGGAAACCCUGACGCAGCCACGCCGCGUGCGGGAUGAAGGCCUUCGGGUCGUAAACCGCUUUUCUCGGGGAAGACACCCGACGGUACUCGAGGAAUAAGCAACGGCUAACUACGUGCCAGCAGCCGCGGUAAUACGUAGGUUGCGAGCGUUGUCCGGAUUUACUGGGCGUAAAGCGCGCGCAGGCGGUCCCGAAAGUCGAAGGUGAAAGCUCCCGGCCCAACUGGAAGAGGCCCUUCGAAACUUCGGGACUUGAAGGCGGGAGAGGCAAAUGGAAUUUCCGGUGUAGCGGUAAAAUGCGUAGAUACCGGAAGGAACACCAGUGGCGAAAGCGAUUUGCUGGCCCGCCCUUGACGCUAAGGCGCGGAAGCUAGGGUAGCGACCGGGAUUAGAUACCCCGUUAGUCCUAGCCGUAAACGAUGGUCACUAGGUGUUGUCGGUAUCGACCCCGGCAGUGCCGAAGCUAACGCAUUAAGUGACCCGCCUGGGGAGUACGACCGCAAGGUUAAAACUCAAAGGAAUUGACGGAAUCGA
Molecule: ribosomal RNA, 816 nt
Filed under: uncultured bacterium
Lineage: Bacteria
Description: bacterial SSU rRNA
Rfam family: Bacterial small subunit ribosomal RNA
Source: RNAcentral